GUACCCGCUGAACUUAAGCAUAUCAAUAAGCGGAGGAAAAGAAACCAACAGGGAUUGCCCUAGUAACGGCGAGUGAAGCGGCAACAGCUCAAAUUUGAAAUCUGGCGUCUUUGGCGUCCGAGUUGUAAUUUGCAGAGGGCGCUUUGGCAUUGGCAGCGGUCCAAGUUCCUUGGAACAGGACGUCACAGAGGGUGAGAAUCCCGUACGUGGUCGCUAGCCUUUACCGUGUAAAGCCCCUUCGACGAGUCGAGUUGUUUGGGAAUGCAGCUCUAAAUGGGAGGUAAAUUUCUUCUAAAGCUAAAUACUGGCCAGAGACCGAUAGCGCACAAGUAGAGUGAUCGAAAGAUGAAAAGCACUUUGGAAAGAGAGUUAAAAAGCACGUGAAAUUGUUGAAAGGGAAGCGCUUGCAGCCAGACUUGCCUGUAGUUGCUCAUCCAGGUUUCUACCUGGUGCACUCUUCUAUAGGCAGGCCAGCAUCAGUUUGGGCGGUUGGAUAAGGGUCUCUGUCAUGUACCUCUCUUCGGGGAGAACUUAUAGGGGAGACGACAUGCAACCAGCCUGGACUGAGGUCCGCGCAUCUGCUAGGAUGCUGGCGUAAUGGCUGUAAGCGGCCCGUCUUGAAACACGGACCAAGGAGUCUAACAUCUAUGCGAGUGUUUGGGUGUCAAGCCCGAGCGCGUAAUGAAAGUGAACGGAGGUGGGAACCUUUCGGGGUGCACCAUCGACCGAUCCUGAUGUCUUCGGAUGGAUUUGAGUAAGAGCAUAGCUGUUGGGACCCGAAAGAUGGUGAACUAUGCUUGAAUAGGGUGAAGCCAGAGGAAACUCUGGUGGAGGCUCGCAGCGGGUUCUGACGUGCAAAUCGAUCGUCAAAUUUGGGCAUAGGGGCGAAAGACUAAUCGAACUAUCU
RNAcentral lists this ribosomal RNA (907 nucleotides) under Didymella bellidis. Its description in RNAcentral is "partial 28S ribosomal RNA". It matches the Rfam family "Eukaryotic large subunit ribosomal RNA", at positions 22 to 945 of the family's 3401-position model. Lineage: Eukaryota; Fungi; Ascomycota; Dothideomycetes; Pleosporales; Didymellaceae. The record is from RNAcentral.